AUUGAACGCUGGCGGCAUGCCUUACACAUGCAAGUCGAACGGCAGCACGGGUGCUUGCCCCUGGUGGCGAGUGGCGAACGGGUGAGUAAUACAUGGGAACAUGUCCUGUAGUGGGGGAUAGCCCGGCGAAAGCCGGAUUAAUACCGCAUACGAUCUACGGCGGAAAGCGGGGGACCUUCGGGCCUCGCGCUUUGGGGUUGGCCGAUGGCUGAUUAGCUAGUUGGUGGGGUAAAGGCCUACCAAGGCGACGAUCAGUAGCUGGUCUGAGAGGACGACCAGCAACAGGGGGGCUGAGACGCGGCCCAGACUCCGGAGGGAGGCACCAGUGGGAAUUUUGGACAAUGGGCGAAAGCCUGAUCCAGCAAUGCCGCGUGUGUGAAGAAGGCCUUCGGGUUGUAAAGCACUUUUGUCCGGAGAGAAAUCCUUGGCUCUAAUACGGUCGGGGGAUGACGGUACCGGAAGAAUAAGCACCGGCUAACUACGUG
Molecule: ribosomal RNA, 485 nt
Filed under: uncultured bacterium
Lineage: Bacteria
Description: partial 16S ribosomal RNA
Rfam family: Bacterial small subunit ribosomal RNA
Source: RNAcentral